This 506-nucleotide ribosomal RNA is filed under the name uncultured bacterium. Its description in RNAcentral is "partial 16S ribosomal RNA". It matches the Rfam family "Bacterial small subunit ribosomal RNA", at positions 28 to 523 of the family's 1533-position model. The record is from RNAcentral.
GAUGAACGCUAGCUACAGGCUUAACACAUCCAAGUCGAGGGGUAACGAGAGGAAAGCUUGCUUUCCUUGUCGACGACCGGCGCACGGGUGAGUAACGCGUAUCCAACCUGCCCCCAACUAGGGAAUAACCUUGCGAAAGUAAGACUAAUACCCUAUAAUUUCCUCAGAUGUCAUCUGACGAGGAAUAAAGAUUUAUCGGUUGUGGAUGGGGAUGCGUCUGAUUAGCUUGUUGGCGGGGUAACGGCCCACCAAGGCAACGAUCAGUAGGGGUUCUGAGAGGAAGGUCCCCCACAUUGGAACUGAGACACGGUCCAAACUCCUACGGGAGGCAGCAGUGAGGAAUAUUGGUCAAUGGGCGGAAGCCUGAACCAGCCAAGUAGCGUGCAGGAUGACGGCCCUAUGGGUUGUAAACUGCUUUUAUACAGGAAUAAAGUUGGCCACGUGUGGUUAUUUGUAGGUACUGUAUGAAUAAGGACCGGCUAAUUCCGUGCCAGCAGCCGCGGUAA